This 517-nucleotide ribosomal RNA is filed under the name uncultured bacterium. RNAcentral describes it as "bacterial SSU rRNA". It matches the Rfam family "Bacterial small subunit ribosomal RNA", at positions 501 to 1016 of the family's 1533-position model. The record is from RNAcentral.
CUACGUGCCAGCAGCCGCGGUAAUACGUAGGUCCCGAGCGUUGUCCGGAUUUAUUGGGCGUAAAGCGAGCGCAGGCGGUUAGAUAAGUCUGAAGUUAAAGGCUGUGGCUUAACCAUAGUACGCUUUGGAAACUGUUUAACUUGAGUGCAAGAGGGGAGAGUGGAAUUCUAUGUGUAGCGGUGAAAUGCGUAGAUAUAUGGAGGAGCACCGGUGGCGAAAGCGGCUCUCUGGCUUGUAACUGACGCUGAGGCUCGAAAGCGUGGGGAGCAAACAGGAUUAGAUACCCUAGUAGUCCACGCCGUAAACGAUGAGUGCUAGGUGUUAGACCCUUUCCGGGGUUUAGUGCCGCAGCUAACGCAUUAAGCACUCCGCCUGGGGAGUACGACCGCAAGGUUGAAACUCAAAGGAAUUGACGGGGGCCCGCACAAGCGGUGGAGCAUGUGGUUUAAUUCGAAGCAACGCGAAGAACCUUACCAGGUCUUGACAUCCCUCUGAUCGCUCUAGAGAUAGAGUUUUC